RNAcentral lists this long non-coding RNA (520 nucleotides) under Gouania willdenowi (blunt-snouted clingfish). RNAcentral describes it as "lncRNA (ENSGWIG00000022634.1)". Lineage: Eukaryota; Metazoa; Chordata; Actinopteri; Blenniiformes; Gobiesocidae. The record is from RNAcentral.
CUAAACCAAACAGACAGUGUGCUUACUCUGAAAGCCCGCGGCACAACGUCACUCCCGGACUCACCAUUUUAUUACAUGACUAUCAAACAAGUCAAAGAGAAAGUGGCGUCUUGGUCAGAGCUGGAGCAUGUAGGCCUAAUCCAGGAGCCUGCCUGAACCUAACGGAGACAACACAUGCACUGUGAUAAACAGCAAAGGAUUUCUGAGUGUCCAUGAUUUGAGACUAUUGCUGCUGAGGUACAUGCAACAACGAGGAAUGAAGUUCGAGAGACCUAAGAUGUGGGACACAAUGCAUUCUGGAACGGGUUAUGGAUUAUAGCAGACUGCUGCUGCUGCUGAUGGGAGUGAUCUUCAGCCACUUGCCUAAAGUAUCUACAAAAUCCAUUGACUUUUGGUGCAAAAAUGACACCAGGGAAAGAAUGUUGGAGAUGAUUGAGGACAAGGUGGAGUGCGUGGGAUCAGAUGACCUGCAGUCGCCUCUACAGCUGCCAUGUGUUGGAGUCAAUGCAGUGGAAUGGGC